GUAGCGAAAGUAGCCAUGUUUUACUCUGGCAGUGGGUAACCUUCGUUGUUUUAACUUGAUUUUCAAAUUUUCUCCGUUUUGAAAAUUUGAAUUUAUCACAAUGUCUCGUCAAUCGACUGUUCGUGCCGACAAUAGAAAAGUGAGUGCAGAGCUGUUUGUCCUGACACACGGAGCACUUGUAGCACAGCUGGUUAAAGACUAUGAGAGUGAUGAAGAAGUGAACAAGCAGCUUGACAAAAUGGGUUAUAAUAUUGGCGUGCGAUUAGUAGAGGACUUCUUGGCAAGAUCCAAUGUUGGAAGGUGUCAUGACUUUCGAGAAACUGCCGAUGUUAUUGCCAAGUUGGGAUUUAAAAUGUUCUUGGGUAUUUCACCAGUGGUAACAAAUUGGAGUGCAGCAUCAGAUGAAUUUUCCUUAAUACUAGACAACAAUCCCAUGGCAGAGUUUGCUGAGUUGCCAGAAGGACAUGAAGGACUUCUUUUCUCCAACAUACUGUGUGGUGUCCUGAGGGGAGCCCUUGAAAUGGUACAAAUGGAAGUUGAUGUUUGGUUUGUUCAUGAUUCGUUAAGAGGCGACGAGACAACAGAAAUUAGACUCAAGUUUAUAAAGAAGUUAGAAGAUGCUCUCCCCGCUGGCGAGGACUAAUACUACAUUUAUACCAUGUAUAACACUCUGUAUAGGAGAUAUUUUAAACGAAAAACUCAAACAACGAUUGUCUGCUACUGAAAUGUUAUGCAAUCCUACAUUUAUUAGUAGGCUUUGCGUGUUGAACCAAUGUCGAGUUGAUCGUUGAAAUAUCGAGAAGUUUUUGGAAAACCGAAGGAACUGAAGUCGUCAUUUACUUAUGACUUGAUGAGCUAUUUUGGUGUUUAAUUGUAAACUAUGUUUAUCACUCAACAUUCAAUACAUCAGAAAACAUCUCAUUUCUCCUUUAAAACACGUAAAAAAUUCUUUGAUGAAAUAGAUGAAGGAAUACUUGGGUUAUUUUAAAUUAUUGUGGUUAAAUAUAAAUGUUCUUUUAGAAAUCAACUUAUUGUUGUGAGCAGACGAGGAAAAAAAAACACUCUAGAAACAACUCGUUAAGGCCUCUUAGGCGCUUUCUAGUAGUGAAGAAUUUUCCACGACGUCACUAUUGCGUGCUGUAAUACAUAUGACAUUAAAUUUUAAAUAGCUUUGCAGGAUA
Molecule: unclassified non-coding RNA, 1181 nt
Filed under: Pocillopora damicornis (cauliflower coral)
Lineage: Eukaryota; Metazoa; Cnidaria; Anthozoa; Scleractinia; Pocilloporidae
Description: trafficking protein particle complex subunit 3-like, transcript variant X1
Source: RNAcentral